GAUGAACGCUAGCGGCAGGCCUAACACAUGCAAGUCGAGGGAGGAGCUUUCGGGCUUCGACCGGCGUACGGGUGCGUAACGCGUAUACAAUCUGCCUUUCACAUAUGUAUAGCCCGAAGAAAUUUGGAUUAAUACCUAAUGGUAUAUAGAGGUGGCAUCACCUUUAUAUUAAAGCUGAGGCGGUGAAAGAUGAGUAUGCGUUCUAUUAGCUAGUUGGAGAGGUAACGGCUCCCCAAGGCGACGAUAGAUAGGGGUUCUGAGAGGGAUAUCCCCCACACUGGUACUGAGAUACGGACCAGACUCCUACGGGAGGCAGCAGUGAGGAAUAUUGGACAAUGGUCGGAAGACUGAUCCAGCCAUGCCGCGUGCAGGAAGACGGCCUUAUGGGUUGUAAACUGCUUUUGCAGGGGAAGAAUAAGGACUACGCGUAGUUUGAUGACGGUACUCUGCGAAUAAGCAUCGGCUAACUCCGUG
This 474-nucleotide ribosomal RNA is filed under the name uncultured bacterium. RNAcentral's name for it is "partial 16S ribosomal RNA". It matches the Rfam family "Bacterial small subunit ribosomal RNA", at positions 28 to 507 of the family's 1533-position model. The record is from RNAcentral.